UGCUAUCGAAGCGUCGCAGCGCGCUCCAGCGCUUACGUGCACGCACACAGAUGAUAGAGGGAUGUAUCAACAAUUCUUAGUUAAGGUAAUAACAUAUUUUAAUAUUGAAAAUGAGUAGACUAUUCCUUUAAUGUCCUGCACAUUACAUUACAUUACACAUCAAGCAAACAGAAAAAAACACAUAGCUAUAUUUAAUUAUUGAGGCAUUACUCACAUUAUUAUAUUGAGUUGUUCAUCGACUUAUUGAGAUGAGGUGUAAUGUUAUUGAAAAGUGAGAACUCAUCGAAAGUUGCUUAUUUUGCAGGUUUCAUCAGGACAAAAAAUAUAUCAGUCACUAUGUGAACUAUGGCAGACAUGAAGGAAACCGAUUCAGCUAUAAUGAUUCAGAGAAGAUUCUCUCUGUCUACUAUUACAGUUAUGCUCACAGUGAUCCUCACACUGUUGUUCACUACCAGUGCAGUCUGAGUCGAUCUACACGCAUUCAGAGGUUCAGUUUGGACGCGCCCCUGCAGAUCUGGGUGAAGAGUCCUUGUGUGUGUCCCAAUGCCUGUACACUGGUGGAUGUGGGUCCUGGCACCAUCUUCCUCAUCAUCCUCUGCCUCAGUGUAACAGCUUACUUUGUUAUAGGAUCUUGUGGCCUGCGGGCGUUCAGGAGCACCAAUGGCGUGCAGAUGGCUCCAGAGGACAGUGUUUGGUGUAUGCUCUGUUACAAACUCAAUGACCGGCCUCGUGUCAGUCCAAAGAAAAUAUUAUUCAAAGAAAGAGAGUACACUAGGAUCGAACAAGGACAAGCAAGGAGUCUGGACACAUCAUAUAGCUCCUCCAAAUCUUUUUUGGUCUAAUCUAACCCAAAUUUAGAGCACACACAAAAAAAACUAUUUGGUGGAAAACUGAGAUAUCCUCUAAAGUCUUUAAAAUCAAGUUUUAAAGGAAAACACCACCGUUUUCAAUAUUUUACUAUGUUUUUACUUCAACUUAGAGGUAUUAAUACAUACCUAUCUUUUUUC
Misgurnus anguillicaudatus (oriental weatherfish) is the source of this 1007-nucleotide long non-coding RNA. RefSeq lists it as uncharacterized. The record is from RefSeq and is a predicted model, not a curated record. Lineage: Eukaryota; Metazoa; Chordata; Actinopteri; Cypriniformes; Cobitidae.